This 253-nucleotide ribosomal RNA is filed under the name uncultured bacterium. Its description in RNAcentral is "partial 16S ribosomal RNA". It matches the Rfam family "Bacterial small subunit ribosomal RNA", at positions 524 to 776 of the family's 1533-position model. The record is from RNAcentral.
UACGUAGGCAGCGAGCGUUGUUCGGAAUUACUGGGCGUAAAGAGUGUGUAGGCGGUGCUCUAAGUUCGGUGUGAAAUCUCCUGGCUCAACUGGGAGGGUGCGCCGGAAACUGGAGUGCUUGAGCGUGGGAGAGGAAAGCGGAAUUCCUGGUGUAGCGGUGAAAUGCGUAGAUAUCGGGAGGAACACCGGUGGCGAAGGCGGUUCUCUGGGCCUUACCUGACGCUGAGGAGCGAAAGCGUGGGGAGCGAACAGG